Long non-coding RNA from Lemur catta (Ring-tailed lemur), 143 nucleotides. RefSeq lists it as uncharacterized. The transcript has 3 exons. NCBI's taxonomy places the organism in Eukaryota, Metazoa, Chordata, Mammalia, Primates, Lemuridae. The record is from RefSeq and is a predicted model, not a curated record.
CAAGAAUCAGUUCACCCUGCCUGAAUUCCUAACCCACAGAAUCAUGAGUAUAACGAGAAGAUCAACAAGCUACCUGGAAGCAGAUGUGAAGGAGAAAAAUAACAAAACCUAAGCUCCUGCCAGAGAUUUAGUUGCAAAAUCAG